GCUUGGCUCAUAGCUGUGCCCGCUAGCACCCCCCAGUGGCCUGAGCCAAGGGGGCGACCCUGAGCGGGAAGCGGGGCGGUGGUGGGGCCCGAGGGCCUUAGGCCGCGGCUCUGAGGAGCCGCACCCGGACCCCACCCAAAGCAGCGCUGCCCGAGACUCCUUUCCAGCGCUUAGCCAAGUGGUGUGGCCAGUGCCCGGUCCCUCUGUGCCUCCCUGGGCUUCUUCCCAGUUGUGGAGAAAGCCCGCGCUGGGGAAAGACUUAACUAGAAGUUAAAAAACUAGUGAAAAUGAAGAGCUGGCAUUUUCCAACGAUACCUUGAGUCUAAUGAGGGGCCUUGAGUCCAAGACGGUUGAGAGCCACUGCUGAAGAUUCUCCUUGCAAAGACUCAGUCUCAAGUCCUCAAACAGUAUUUAGGUGUUUUAAAAAAUGGACUUCAAUGGGAGUUGGACACUUAGGUCAGCACUUGAUAGCAGGGUGGAGUGCUUCAAGCAGGAUUUAAAUGCUGGAAGGGACGAUUGAUGCAUAUUCCUGAAGCUGAAACAAUACAGAUCACAAUUGUUUGAAGUUUCAUCCCAGUAAGGGAGGAAGUGCAGAAUGGUCUGAUGUGGUGAAAAACGACUGUAUAAAAUGACAAUCCAGGCCUGGAGGAAGGAGAUUUUGCUGAUCCAGAAACUACAGGUAUGAGACUGACCAGCCUACUGGAACAUCCUUGUGGAAGAUUGAUGGCCACCUAGUAAGUCAAGCAGUUUGUUGUUUUAAGGAAUGUUUUGUUCUUUAAAUGAUACUUUGCUUUGAAUAUUGCCAGGUCACCUCAAGUUUUGGGGUGUGAUAUUGGAUAAGGUGAGAUAUAAAUCUAAAAAAAUUAUAAAACCAUGCCACUGCCCAGAAAAAAAAUGAUUGCAAGUGCUAGGCAUACCUGAAUAGUCAUAGUGAAUUGCCAGCUUGACAGGAGGGGAUUGUGAGACUCAUCCUGAAAAAAAAGGCUGAUAGAAGCCUGAGACCUUGUCAUGGGGCCUUUAAGUAGGCAAUGCGGAUAGGAGGUCAGAGGCAUAGUUAGCUUGGGACUAGACAGAUCUGAUCAUCCGAUUGAUAGUUUUGAGACACAAGGCAAAAUGUUACCUGCUUCCUUGGUCCUGAAAGAAAUUCAGGUGUCCACAUACUUCCACACUGUUGUUGUGUCUUAUU
Alligator mississippiensis (American alligator) is the source of this 1186-nucleotide long non-coding RNA. RefSeq lists it as uncharacterized. The record is from RefSeq and is a predicted model, not a curated record. The transcript has 3 exons. Lineage: Eukaryota; Metazoa; Chordata; Crocodylia; Alligatoridae.